Molecule: long non-coding RNA, 757 nt
Filed under: Olea europaea subsp. europaea
Lineage: Eukaryota; Viridiplantae; Streptophyta; Magnoliopsida; Lamiales; Oleaceae
Source: RNAcentral
CACAGCUUGAAAUUUUUUGGAUUUUAUUGAGGAAGUGGAUGUUGCUACGAUUGCUGAGUUGAAACCAAGUAAUAUAGUGAAAAGUACAUUUCAUCCUAGUUCUAGUGCAAAACAUAUUACAGAAUGGUAAAUUUGCCCUCAACCUUCCACAUUUGUUGAUAGAAUUUAAUCUCAACCGCUUGAUUUGUUUAGUACAGUAUGGGCUUUGAUGAUUAUGCAUUUUACAUGAAAUUCCACUGUAAAUCUAGUCUUGUUAUGAAUUUUAUUUUUAUUUUUGUUGGAUUUCACAUUUUGCUAGUUUUGAAUUCUAACAUGUAAAAAUGGGGACUUAUGUAUUCUUCUAUAUAUCAUAUUCCACUAAUCACUUGAAUUUUGUGAGUAUAACAUACUAUGGUAAUUCAUAUAGUUUUUAAGGAACAAAUCUUGAAUUAAUAUGGUGUGAUGCAGAGAAAUGUAAAAUGUGAAGUUCACUUGAAAAAGAAUAAGUACAAAGAAAUAUUGGAAUGUGCAAAUUUUGAGACCAAUGUGCAUUACCUAUUUAAUAAGUGGGGAUGUGUUGAUUUGUUGGUGUAUAAUGUUUUUCUGUUUAUAUGAUCCGAUGCCAAAAUGAAAAUUCAAUAAUUCUAUCUAUUAGGAAGCGUAUAUAUAUUUUUCUUCAAUUUUCAUUCGAAAUGGUUGUGCAUAGUUUUUGUGUGUCAUUUACCAAAACAUUUAUUGCAUUAACUUUCUUAGAUUUCAGUCCCCCUUAUAAAAAAUC